This 288-nucleotide small nuclear RNA is filed under the name Chinchilla lanigera (long-tailed chinchilla). RNAcentral's name for it is "7SK RNA (ENSCLAG00000021795.1)". It matches the Rfam family "7SK RNA". Rfam says of the family: 7SK was discovered as an abundant small nuclear RNA in the mid-70s but a possible function has only recently been suggested. Two independent studies have found that 7SK RNA binds the CDK9/cyclin T complex (known as elongation factor P-TEFb). Lineage: Eukaryota; Metazoa; Chordata; Mammalia; Rodentia; Chinchillidae. The record is from Rfam by way of RNAcentral.
GGAUAUGAGGGUGAUCUGGCUAUGACAUCAAUCACCGUGUUAGUUGCCAGGGUUGAUUCAGCUGAUCUAGCUGGAUAGGCUGGAGUCCCUUUCCUACCUCAGCCGUUUGUGUGCAACCCUUCUGAAGGUGCAUACUCGGUAGACCACCCAGGGUAGAGGAGUACCAUUCCUUGGUCAAGGGUAUACGAGUAGCUGUGCUGUCCUGCUAGAACCUCCCAACUCUCAAGGAGGGGGAGUUUUCUCUUGCCUAAUGUUAUGAAAUUCUGUGGCAUGCUUUGAAAGAUCUUU